Callorhinus ursinus (northern fur seal) is the source of this 1436-nucleotide non-coding RNA. NCBI's taxonomy places the organism in Eukaryota, Metazoa, Chordata, Mammalia, Carnivora, Otariidae. The record is from RefSeq and is a predicted model, not a curated record.
GAAGACUAGAGGAGCUGGGGACCUAGCUUUGGCUUCACCUCCCUCACUGAUACAGCAUGGGGGAGAAGUCAGAGAACUGUAGGGCUCCAGAGGAUCUUUUCAAUGGUUUGAAAGUUACAGAUCCACAGGAAGCAGAGUGUGCUACCCCUCCGGUUUCCAGUCCCAAAGAUCACCAUCUCCAGAGAAAGCUGCUCAAGGAUGUUGCAGCUCAUUCCCAGGAAGACCAGGGAGAAGAGGAGUGUUUUCAUGACCUUAGUGCCUCAUUUGAGAAGGAGGAGCCAGGAGCAGACAAGGUUGAGAACAAACCUGAUGAUAAUGUGAAUUCCUCUGAACUUGAUGAAGAAUACCUAAUAAAACUGGAAAAAAACAUGCCAGUUGAGGAGAAACAGAAGAGAAGAGAAGAGAGCACUAGACUAAAGGAGGAGGGAAAUGUGCAGUUUAAGAGAGGAGAUUAAAUAGAAGCUGAGAGUUCGUAUAGUCAAGCCCUUCAGAUGUGCCCAUCCUGCUUCCAGAAGGACAGGUCUAUUCUGUUUUCAAAUAGAGCUGCUGCAAGGAUGAAACAGGACAAGAAAGAGAUGGCCGUCAGUGACUGCAACAAAGCAACUCAGUUAAACCCCAGCUAUAUCAAGGCAAUACUGAGGAGAGCAGAGUUGUACGAGAAAACGGACAAGCUAGAUGAAGCCCUGGAGGACUAUAAAUCCAUUUUAGAAAAAGAUCCAUCUGUACAUCAAUCAAGAAAGCUUGCAUGAGAUUACCUAAACAGACUGAAGAACGUAACGAAAGGCUAAAGGCAGAGAUGUUAGGUAAACUAAAAGAUUUUGGGAACUUGGUUCUUCGACCUUUUGGACUCUCCACCGAAAAUUUCCAGAUCAAACAGGAUUCCUCUACUGGUUCCUACUCCAUCAAUUUUGUUCAAAAUCCAAAUAAUAACAGAUAACAAAGUUAACAGUAGCUUGUAAAGCUGGCUUGGAGAUUGUGUGCUGCUUGCUAUUAACAAGGGGGAAGGCCCUGCCAAUAUUUAACUUUUAAAAGCAUUUUAUCUCAAAGACAGGCUAUCCACUAGGGCCCAGUGCUCCCUUUUCCCUCUUGUUUUCCAAUCAGGGUGAAAUGCACUUCUGAUGUCAUAAGCCUAAUUUGAUUCCCAUUUUAAGGUGGUGUCUGUGCAGCUGUUGCCCUUGGUUCUGGCUGUCCCUGGCUUUGUCCGGGACGAAGCCUGCUUGUCAAAGCUGACCUCCCUGAGCUAUACACGCGAGCCCAGCCAGAGCGUCCCCCAGCCUGAGCAGACCUGCCGGUCGGAGACUGCCCAAAUAUGAUUCCUGGGGUUCCCGCCUCCUGUCCCCUGUCCCUGAUUACUCACCCCGCCCAGGCUGCUGGGCAUGGGCUCUGGUGUCUCCUGGUUUCCUCUGUGGUAAAUAAACGCUUUCUGUGAUGGUCUG